Molecule: transfer RNA, 87 nt
Filed under: Clostridiales bacterium
Lineage: Bacteria; Bacillati; Bacillota; Clostridia; Eubacteriales
Description: tRNA-Leu
Rfam family: tRNA
About the family: Transfer RNA (tRNA) molecules are approximately 80 nucleotides in length. Their secondary structure includes four short double-helical elements and three loops (D, anti-codon, and T loops).
Source: RNAcentral
GCCGCUGUGGUGAAAUUGGCAGACACAAGGGACUUAAAAUCCCUCGGUAGCAAUACCGUGCCGGUCCGAGUCCGGCCAGCGGCACCA